GAAUUGUGAACUCAACUUCUCUUUAUAGCUAAAUCGAGAAAUUCUAUUCCCACUAUAAUACUUUCACAAAUACUCAAUUUUUUAAUUGAAAAUUCAAUGUUUUUACGCAUCAAGCCCACAUAUAUUUUCUGCCAAUCUGAAAUUCUCUUAGACGGUCACGAAUUACUUUCAUUUCUCCUUUCCAAUCACAUCGACCCCGAAAUUCUUUUUAUCGAAAUUCGAUUCGAUAUAAUGAAGUUCAGUAAUUGCAACCAUA
Molecule: long non-coding RNA, 256 nt
Filed under: Gossypium barbadense (sea-island cotton)
Lineage: Eukaryota; Viridiplantae; Streptophyta; Magnoliopsida; Malvales; Malvaceae
Description: long non-coding RNA (GBAR_LNC004434)
Source: RNAcentral